Molecule: long non-coding RNA, 1731 nt
Organism: Engraulis encrasicolus (European anchovy)
Lineage: Eukaryota; Metazoa; Chordata; Actinopteri; Clupeiformes; Engraulidae
Exons: 3
Source: RefSeq, a predicted model, not a curated record
UUAAACAUUAGACUUCUUCAAACAUUAAAAUGACUAAAUAUGAGAUAGGUAGAUAAUAUAAUAUAAAAAAAUAACUUUUUUCACUGUCAUAUUGUUUCCUUUUCAUUAACCCAUCAAUUAGAAUUCGUAUUUUUAAAGACCAGGAUGUGUUAUGCACCUCCAUGUGACACUUAUGAUGUCAGUUUGUUUUUGUUUUGCCGGCCAUCUGCUCACUUGUCCCUUUAAGUGGGCCGUGUCGCCGGCAUCACAAGAGGGUUUGCAUAAUGGAUUGCCUAUCCUACACAGAGCUCUCUGACACGAUUAAGCAUCCAGUCUCUGAUAUAAGUAUGAGGCCUCAUCCAGACAAGAAGGGCAGGAACCGAAGGAAGAGAAACGAGGGAGAAAGGCUUUUUAAGUCUUGAGUCAGGAGUGAGCAGGCAGGCACAAGAUCCAUGAGCGAGGAGUAGUUGUAGCUGUGCUGUUUGGGCCCAGGUUAGCUGUAGCGAUUGCAAGACCUCCUUCUCCCUUCACCCUUCCACAGGGGUCAGCAUGCUGCACCCCAUCAUGAUCGGCAUAGUCACCCUCAACACCUCCAUCACCCUCAUAUACUGGGCCUUCAUUCUCAUAGAGGCCUUCCACAAGAAGGUGGAGGACGAGCCUGCCAAAGACAACCCCGCCUAAACUAUCCGUAACCUUAACAGCCACUUGGCACACCACACAGAUCCUGGAGAACUGUGGACAAAAUAUUUCUAUUUGAGUGAGUAGAGUAGACGGUUUCGUAGUGGUUUUUUUUUUCCAGGAUGCACCUGGACAAAACAACCAAAGGAAAAAACUACCAGUUUAUUAAAGCUUUGUGGUAUCUAACCUUUGUGGAUUAUGCAUUUUCCAAGAGCGAGCCAUCAGGUCUAUUUUUCAUCGUCCAGACAUUAGGGGAGAAAGCUUUACGGCAGCUGUCACGCAGGAGGAAAAUAAUACGUUAUAGAAAAUCUCCUCUCCCUGAAUCCUGGAAAGAAGGACCUGAAAGCAUGUUGGAAAGUGCAUGGGCAGAUUACCUGUCGUUACCAGGCCAAAGAAGAUCUUUCAAUAAGGUUGGGCCCUUGGACUGAACCACGUGGAGAAAGAUUUGUAUGACCAGCUAGGAGAGGAUGAGAGGGGGAGGAGGAAGAGGAAGAUGAAGAAGAAGAGGAGUCAGAAGGACGCCAAGAUGCUGGAGGAGAACCAACAGCCUCUACCAGGAUUUCAGAUUGUGAUGUGAAUCUGCACUUUAGAUUUCCUUUUCCACAAAUAUUUUCCCUGUAUGAAGAAAAAAAAGAUCUUGGACUGUCCCAACUAUAUUGGCUCUGCCCUCAGUCUUUCAUUGUAAAGAUUCUCUGAUUUAUUAUCUUUAUAAUACUUUCACACUUAUUAUUAUUAUUAUUAUUAUUAUAUUUCAUUUAAUGUAUUGGUCAAUAUCCCACUAUCAUAGCAUCAGACACCCUGUGUAAUCUAAAAGACUGUCCCUAUAACAACAUUCAUUCUUUUUCAAGCAAAGGGUUAUAUGUAUCUCAGCUGUUAUACUGUAUAUGCCUAUAUCUUCAUGGUGGCAAAUACAGCCCCACUGGACUGCAGUGCAUAUCUCCUUCAUGGUUCAUUCAUACAUUUUACAGCGAGUCUAUGUCUGAAAACCUACUAAACAUUGAGUGCCAUUCUAUUGCCCAAACUCGGCAGCCUACCCCAUUUCAAAUUAUGUAUUCAUUAUUGAAUAAAAACUGA